UUUUAAGACCCUGGAUCCAGCCAUGUCUGAAGCCAGUGCACUUCUGCGAGUCAAUAAAUUCCCUUCUUCCCACUUUUACUCCCAACCAGUUUGGGUAAGAAUUUGUACCCAGAAAGUUCUGAUUAAGUCAAUAAAUAAUAGUCCUAAUUAAGCCCAUAAAUAAUAAAAUUCAUAGACUUUUUAGUAGGAAAAAAAACUAUUUUAGCUGGGAGCUGUGGCAGAUACCUAUAAUCUCAGCUAUUAGGGAGGCUGAGUCAGGAGGAUCCCAAAUUCAAGGCCAGCCUCAGAAACUUAGUGAGAUUCAAAAUAAAAAAUUUAACACCCAGUACUGCUAAAACCCUUUUUUAAAAUGAAUGAUACAGUCCAUCAAAAGAUGAUAAAGGCUAAGGAGAAUAAAAAGGAAGGAGUACAGGGAAUGCCAAGUUAUUUCUAAAUUUUUUUAAAGUGAAGGAGGGUUUGUUCACCCAACUUCAGCUCAAAGAGAUUAAAAAUAAGGUCAUGGGGCUGGGAUUGUAGCUCAGUGGUAGAGCACUUGCCUUGCAUGUAUGUAUGAGGUACUGGGUUCCAUCCUCAAUACCACAUAAAAAUAAAUAAAUGAAUGAAUAAAUAAAUGAAUGUAUUAAUAUAAAAAACAACAACAACAAGGUCAUCUAGCAAGUAGAAGAACCAGAAUUGAAAAAUGGGAGGUCUUUUGACCUCGCCCAAGUCAUACUUCCUCCCAGGCCAGGAAUCUCUUAACUGGUAAACUCACUUUAUCUGUCCUGGGCUUCACUAUUAAUGACCUUUUGGAAGUUUUGUUUUAUUUUGGGUUUGUUUAUUUGUUUUGUGGUACUGGGGAUUGAACCCAAGGGUGCUGUACCACUGAGCUACACCAUCA
Molecule: long non-coding RNA, 877 nt
Filed under: Marmota monax (woodchuck)
Lineage: Eukaryota; Metazoa; Chordata; Mammalia; Rodentia; Sciuridae
Rfam family: tRNA (bases 507-579)
Source: RNAcentral